Molecule: ribosomal RNA, 459 nt
Filed under: uncultured bacterium
Lineage: Bacteria
Description: partial 16S ribosomal RNA
Rfam family: Bacterial small subunit ribosomal RNA
Source: RNAcentral
CCUACGGGUGGCAGCAGUGAGGAAUAUUGGUCAAUGGGCGCAAGCCUGAACCAGCCAAGUAGCGUGCAGGAUGACGGCCCUAUGGGUUGUAAACUGCUUUUGUACGGGAACAAAAGGCGCCACGUGUGGCGUUCUGAGAGUACCCGAAGAAUAAGCACCGGCUAAUUCCGUGCCAGCAGCCGCGGUAAUACGGAGGGUCCGGGCGUUAUCCGGAUUUAUGGGGUUUAAAGGGUGCGAGGGCGGAAGAUCAAGCGUGCGGUAAAAUGGAGGGGCUCAACCCCGUCUAGCCGUGGCAACUGGCUUGCUUGAGUGCGCGGGAAGUAGGCGGAAUGCGUGGUGUAGCGGUGAAAUGCUUAGAUAUCACGAAGAACUCCGAUUGCGAAGGCAGCAUACUGGAGCGCAACUGACGCUGAUGCUCGAAAGUGUGGGUAUCGAACAGGAUUAGAUACCCGAGUAGUC